CAACCACUGGCGAGAUACGUGGAUGUUG
Flavobacteriaceae bacterium MAR_2010_188 is the source of this 28-nucleotide regulatory RNA element. It matches the Rfam family "L19-Flavobacteria ribosomal protein leader". Lineage: Bacteria; Pseudomonadati; Bacteroidota; Flavobacteriia; Flavobacteriales; Flavobacteriaceae. The record is from Rfam.